This is a non-coding RNA of Lipotes vexillifer (Yangtze River dolphin), 72 nucleotides long. The record is from the annotation of a RefSeq genome assembly. Lineage: Eukaryota; Metazoa; Chordata; Mammalia; Artiodactyla; Lipotidae.
UCCCUGGUGGUCCAGUGGUUAGGACUUGGUGCUUUCACUGCCAUGGUCCUGGUUCAAUCCAUGGCUGGGGAA